This 427-nucleotide ribosomal RNA is filed under the name uncultured Rhodanobacter sp. Its description in RNAcentral is "bacterial SSU rRNA". It matches the Rfam family "Bacterial small subunit ribosomal RNA", at positions 355 to 774 of the family's 1533-position model. The record is from RNAcentral. Lineage: Bacteria; Pseudomonadati; Pseudomonadota; Gammaproteobacteria; Lysobacterales; Rhodanobacteraceae.
UGGGGAAUAUUGGACAAUGGGCGCAAGCCUGAUCCAGCAAUGCCGCGUGUGUGAAGAAGGCCUUCGGGUUGUAAAGCACUUUUAUCAGGAACGAAAUACCACGGGUUAAUACCCUAUGGGGCUGACGGUACCUGAGGAAUAAGCACCGGCUAACUUCGUGCCAGCAGCCGCGGUAAUACGAAGGGUGCAAGCGUUAAUCGGAAUUACUGGGCGUAAAGGGUGCGUAGGCGGUUCGUUAAGUCUGUCGUGAAAUCCCCGGGCUCAACCUGGGAAUGGCGAUGGAUACUGGCGAGCUAGAGUGUGUCAGAGGAUGGUGGAAUUCCCGGUGUAGCGGUGAAAUGCGUAGAGAUCGGGAGGAACAUCAGUGGCGAAGGCGGCCAUCUGGGACAACACUGACGCUGAAGCACGAAAGCGUGGGGAGCAAACA